CACGAAUUAAUGAUUGUUAUUGUUUACCGAGAUGAUCUAAUACGUAUUUUCGAUUCUAAAACGAUUCGAAAUCCAGACUCUUCUAUAUCGUUAAAAUAUUUGCUUUAAUAUAAAAAUCUUAAGAAUUUACCAUCACUCGUAGAACUGAAAGAUACGACAUCGAAGUUUUUAAAAUAGUCAUAUACGUUUGCAUGUUGACAACAAAGAAUUUCCCAGCUGUCAAGAGAACUGGACGUUGAGUUUUCAUAAUAAUAAAAAUAAUAUCUUUCAAUACAUUUUUCGGCAUAUUAUACCAAAUACAAAAGUAUACCGAAUUACCGAUGCCUUCAGUUUGAGUUUUCAAAUAUUCACCUACGUAACUAUAUGCGAACAAUUGUAUCAAAAGAAUGGAUAUCUCCGCAAGUAUUUUUAUCGUUAAGACGACAUUUCCAAAAGUCAAAGUGAGAAUAAGUUGAAAUCCUAGAAAUAAUUAUUUCUAUAGAUUUUAUAGAUCAAACACACUUAAAGCUUUAUCAAAUGCCAUGAAGUAAAAUAAAAAUGAUACAAAUAUUCACCAGUUGUACAUAUAAGUACACAACUUGAAAAAAGUUGUAUGACCAAAAUAAAACUAACUGUCUCGUUCAACAUUUUACUUAGAUUCAACAAGUAAAUAUGCCUUUUUGUUAAUAAAAUAAUAUGUUCCAUUGUUCUUUCGUUUGCAUCGGACAAUUUAUUAUACUUUAGUUUCAAAAUCUCCACUUGGCCGCACAAAUGAAAAACAAUACCGAAAAACAACGAAUCGCUACCUAUAUAUAAAAAAAAAAUAUUUUCAUAAAAAAAUAUUUAAUAUAAUGGAUGAUUACCUAGAUUCCCAGUACUCGUGAAUAAUAGCAUCAUGUAUUCUACGAUGAAAACCAUGAAACCCAAAUUUUCCGGCAUAUUUAUAAUCGCCAAUGCAUUUUUAGAUGGAAUAGGAUAUUUUAUUACACUUUCUUCCGUUAUAUUAAUCAAUUCUUUUUUGUCUCCAGCAAGCAUAGGCACAGUCAUGAAAAGCGUGGACGCGAUAAACGAGCAAGAUAUUAAACUGGCGCAUGCUACUCUACUCAUGUAAGCAUGUCGGCGCAUGAUCACUCGAUUUUCUUCACUGUUCAAUUCGUUGUAAUCCUUAAUCGCAGAAGAAAAAUUCGAAACGAGUCCUAUAGAACGUAUACGAAAACACAUCACCUUUGCCAUUGCUAAAAUGCCGCAAUUAAUUAAUAGAAGAGCAUCUAGGUUAUUUUCUGCGUUGCUCCUGUCCAAAUAUAAUUCCACUUGUAAAAUCACUAUCAUCAAUAACUGCAACAAAACGAUUCUUAAACACAAUUAAUCAUAACUUGUGAGACACAAUGAUACAAAGAUUUUAUACCAAAAGUGAAAUUGAAAAUAUGGUACGUGAGAUUGAAAAUAUUUCGUGCACCUGAAAAGGCCAAGUGCCUACGGGCCAUGACAGGAAUUUCAACGGAGUCAUAGCAUCGAUAGCUUGAGAAGGCUAAACUUCAAAAACAAGUUUCCCAACUUACUUAGAUAAAUUUCGACGACAAAUUACCAGUAUCAGAUUUCUCAAUAUGCAUCUCAUCAAAUUGUAAUAAAUGAAAGACAGGUUGUGCAGUUUCUUUGAUUUCCAGUAUAAGUAUUUGCAUCUAUUACGUCAAAAUCACAAUUUUUAAUGCAUUAAUGUUGU
Molecule: long non-coding RNA, 1699 nt
Organism: Apis florea (little honeybee)
Lineage: Eukaryota; Metazoa; Arthropoda; Insecta; Hymenoptera; Apidae
Source: RefSeq, a predicted model, not a curated record